UUCUAUGCUCUUUAGGCCAAUAGCUAUGGUAGAUUAAGGUACUUCCGAUGAUCUGAGCCAUUAUCAAACAAACCAAACCUCCAAUUCCCAAUUUGAAUGCUUCACUUUCAGGCAGAAAGCAGAACUUGCCAUUCAAUUUCAGCCGCCAAACAUGAUGCGAAAGAGGCGAGUGUGAGGAUGGCAACAAUGGAAAAGCUUAUUACAAAGCUAGAAGAAGAGGGCUUUUCCAUGGCGGCUUGAAGAAGAAGAAGAUCGAAGGAAGAGAAGAAGAAGUGGGGAGUUUAAAUCAUGGUUUUGGAAGAAAAGGAAUGAAUCUUGGAGGUACGCCCUUUCCCAGAUACCGGUUUACCUGAAGCUUAUCAAACACAGGAAGGGGAUUGAAAUUCCACCAUACGAGAAGCCAAUAUAAAAAGGGGAAAUGAGUAGGAUGAAGAUGCAAGUUUUUUCCAAUAUUUGGGUUUCUCAACCCACUUCUUUUCAACAAUGGAGGAGUAUUAAGAGCCCCACAUGCUACUAUAGUCACCUUGGACUCAACCAAGCACAUCUGUUUGGCUGCUGAUCCACACCAGAAUUCAAACGCAACGCCUUUCGCCAUCUUGCGUUCUCUCCCGUGUUUCUUCUCCUGUCUGAUUUUAAUGGCUUCGCAGCCUGGAAGUAUAACGCCAUUUCCCGACCUUACCAAGUCCACAAGCCAUGUCUCUGCAGUCCCCUUCUUUCUCCCAUCCCUGCAGCCGAGACAGCACCAACCACAGUAAUGAUCAGAAGUUGAGUUUCUAGGAAUAUUGAUAGCAUGACCACCCAAUUCCUCACACCCUUUUCUUAAAACUGCAUUGUUAAACCCUUCAUUGUCAAUUUCUGAUUGAACUCCCAUUUUCUUACACACUACAUCAAUUGCUUCUUUGUAUAAAUUGCUUCUAAACAACUCCAAUUCAUACUCAUCUGACCAUUCUUUAGUUACAUGACUUGGUGUUUUAAUUGAAGCUGACCAAUUUACUGUUGACCCUCCACCAACAGUAGAGCCUGCAAGUAUAAGCACAUUCAUAUUAUCAGUUGCCACUAAACCACUUGAUUGAUACAUUUCUUCCAUGGCUGGCCCUUCUAGGAGUGACAGGUUUGAUGGAGGUUUGAAUUGGGGGUCACUUCCUGGGUAGUCGAUUGCUUUCCAUGAUAUGUUGUUCAUCUCCUCAUCAACCUGAUCCAGUGGCAGAGCAAGAGGUUUUAUUAGAGGGUAAUUAAACUCUUUUUAAACUCUUUGAACAUGUUACCUACACCCUAUUUAAUUUCUAAACUUUAAAGUUCGUGUCUAUUUGACCAUUAAACUUUUAAAAGUUCAUAAACUUUCGAUUCUGGGUCUAAUAAGUCUUUCACAAAUUUAAUUUUUUUUUAAAGACAAUUGAUCUAUCUGAUAUAAAU
Cucumis melo (muskmelon) is the source of this 1413-nucleotide long non-coding RNA. RefSeq lists it as uncharacterized. The transcript is spliced from 5 exons. NCBI's taxonomy places the organism in Eukaryota, Viridiplantae, Streptophyta, Magnoliopsida, Cucurbitales, Cucurbitaceae. The record is from RefSeq and is a predicted model, not a curated record.